RNAcentral lists this ribosomal RNA (2459 nucleotides) under human gut metagenome. Its description in RNAcentral is "bacterial LSU rRNA". It matches the Rfam family "Bacterial large subunit ribosomal RNA", at positions 500 to 2825 of the family's 2925-position model. The record is from RNAcentral.
ACCGUGAGGGAAAGGUGAAAAGCACCCCGGGAGGGGAGUGAAAGAGUUCCUGAAACCGUGCGCCUACGAACCGUCGGAGCCCCCGUGUGGGGUGACGGCGUGCCUAUCGAAAAAUGAGUCUGCGAGUCAGUGGCAUGUGGCGAGCCUAAGCCGUUGAGGUGGAGGCGUAGCGAAAGCGAGUCUUAAAAGGCGUUCCAGUCGCGUGUCCUGGACCCGAAGCGGGAUGAUCUAGCCCUGGGCAGGUUGAAGCGCGGGUAAGACCGCGUGGAGGACCGCACCCACUUAGGUUGAAAACUGAGGGGAUGACCUGGGGUUAGGGGUGAAAGGCCAAUCAAAUUCCGUGAUAGCUGGUUCUCUCCGAAAUGCAUUUAGGUGCAGCGUUGGUUGAUUGCGCGCAGGGGGUAGAGCGACUGGAUGCUUGCGGGCCCGUACCGGGUACCAAUAGCAACCAAACUCCGAAUACCUGUCGUGUGUAUGCCAGCAGUGAGUCGGCGGGGGAUAAGCUCCGUCGUCGAGGGGGAGACAGCCCUGACCGUCGUCUAAGGUCCCCAAGCGCGUGCUAAGUGGGAAAGGAUGUGGAGUCGCAUAGACAGCCAGGAGGUUGGCUCAGAAGCAGCCAUCCUUGAAAGAGUGCGUAACAGCUCACUGGUCUAGUGGUUCCGCGCCGACAAUGUAGCGGGGCUCAAGCACGCCACCGAAGACGCGGCAACAACCCUUGUGGUUGUUGGGUAGGAGAGCGUCCCAUACCGGGUUGAAGCCGCGGAGUGAUCCUGUGGUGGACCGUAUGGGAGUGAGAAUGCAGACAUGAGUAGCGAGAGCAAGGUGAGGAUCCUUGCCGCUGGAUGACCAAGGGUUCCAGGGCCACGUUCGUCGUCCCUGGGUGAGUCGGGUCCUAAGGCGAGGCCGACAGGCGUAGUCGAAUGGAUGAACGGGUUGAUAUUCCCGUACCGGCCCUUUGACCGAUCAACGGCCCCCUGGCCGAACACACAUUUCCGUGUUGGUUCCCAUGCCCUUCGGGGUGUGGGGCGAUGCAUGGGUCUGUGUGGGGCGCCUUGGGGUCGAGCGCGUGGAGUGACGCGGACGGGUAGCCGGCCGGGGAGGUGGUUUUCCCUGGUCAAGCGUGUGGCCCCGCCCCCAGGCAAAUCCGGGGGCAUCAUGGGGUGAGGCGUGAUGAUGGGGGCCCUUGUGGCCCGAUAUCCGGUGAUCCCGUCGGCCGAGAAAAGCUUCGGCGUGAGGUCUUGGGCCGCUCGUACCCCAAACCGACACAGGUGGUCAGGUAGAGUAUACCAAAGCGAGCGAGCGAAUCCUGGUCAAGGAACUCGGCAAACCGCUCCCGUGCCUUCGGCAUAAGGGAGACCCCCCGCGGUGACGGGCCCUCGCGGCCCUCGAGCGGUGGGGGGUGGCACAAGCCAGGGGGUAGCGACUGUUUACCAAAAACACAGGUGCAUGCCAAGACGCAAGUCGCCGUAUAUGCACUGACGCCUGCCCGGUGCCGGAAGGUUAAGAGGAUCCAUCAGCGCGGCUUGCCGCGCGAAGUGGUGAAUUCAAGCCCCGGUAAACGGCGGUGGUAACUAUAACCAUCCUAAGGUAGCGAAAUUCCUUGUCGGGUAAGUUCCGACCUGCACGAAUGGCGUAACGACUUCCCCGCUGUCUCGACCAGGAGCUCGGCGAAAUUGCAGUACGAGUAAAGAUGCUCGUUAAGCGCAGAAGGACGAAAAGACCCCGGGACCUUUACUAUACCUUGGUAUUGGCAUCAGGUGCGGAUUGUGUAGCAUAGGCGGGAGACUGUGAAGCACGCACGCCAGUGUGUGUGGAGUCGACAGGUGAAAUACCGCUCUGUCCCCAUCUGAUGCCUAACCCGGACAAGUGAGCCUUGUCGGGGACAGUGCCUGGCGGGUAGUUUAACUGGGGCGGUUGCCUCCCAAAGAGUAACGGAGGCGCUCAAAGGUCCGCUCGGCCCGGUUGGCAAUCGGGUGUCGAGUGUAAUCGCACAAGCGGGCUUGACUGCGAGAUCGACGGAUCGAGCAGGGACGAAAGUCGGAGAUAGUGAUCCGGUGCCGGCGUACGGACGCGGCAUCGCUCAACGGAUAAAAGGUACCCCGGGGAUAACAGGCUGAUCAUUCCCAAGAGUCCAUAUCGACGGGAUGGUUUGGCACCUCGAUGUCGGCUCGUCGCAUCCUGGGGCUGGAGCAGGUCCCAAGGGUUCGGCUGUUCGCCGAUUAAAGCGGCACGCGAGCUGGGUUCAGAACGUCGUGAGACAGUUUGGUCUCUAUCCUCUGCGCUCGUUGGAAUCCUGAGGAGGCCUGCCCAUAGUACGAGAGGACCUGGGUGGACGAACCUCUGGUAUGCCAGUUGUCGCGCCAGCGGCAUGGCUGGUUGGCCACGUUCGGGAGGGAUAACCGCUGAAAGCAUCUAAGCGGGAAGCCCGCUCCAAGAUAAGGAUUCCUGACCCCCCUUCG